CGUUGACAGUCAGGAGGUGUUUACGUAUCGAACGUGUUCAAUUUAUGAUACAGAGUUAUCUGAACGUUUGAGUUUAUUUGUGUGGUUUUGAUUUGUGCAGCUUAAUAAAAACGAGAUAUAAAACUGAUAAUCUUACGCUAGAGGAAUAAGAUCCGGCUAUUCUAAAUUGCGGAUUGCCGGCUAUCAUACUAUCGGACAUGCAACACGUGUGUAUCCGCCCCAUUCGACUAGUAAGCUAUUGGCAUUGAAAAAAUCCCUGCUAUGCAACCGCCGUCCGGUAGCAGUAGAUGACUCUAUGUGUAAAAGUUUGCAGCAAGGUUCCGUCGCAAUUACGAGUUCAGCAACCGGAACCAACAUGUUACUGUGAAAAACUUCAUAAGUGCAGAUGAACAACGACACCAAGAUACAGCAAACGAGGAAGAGCCAUAAUGGGUGUCGGCAGGACAUACCUCUCGCCUGGGCACAAUCGAACUUUGUGGAUUCGAUGAAGAUACUUCAAUCAAGGUCUCGCCAAUCGAUUAGUCGCCGAAUGCUCAUAAAAAACAACGUUGAGAAUGCAACUGAUCCACCACAAAUGCAACAACAGCACAAAUCAACCCAACAGCCGCGUUAUCCAUCCCAACGUGAGCUUCAGUUCCAUACCCAAUCCAUAAUGCAGAACGCUUUACUCCGUAAAAAACUGCAGAAUCAACGCAAGGCGCUUUGUGAUCAGAACAGUCGAAUUGCUGCCGCUACCGCUGUGAUUAACAACGGUGAACCAAAUACAGUUCGGCAGCAAUUCGUACAAUCGAUGCGUCUAAACAUGCAACGAAGUUUUUUGGUUCUUAGUUAAACUGCUAACCGGCCGGUGACAAAUAUCCUAAUGGUACAUAUUUCUCUGCAAAGCCGACUGCAGGAGCAACUACUCUCCGUCACGCAAAAAUUGUGUCAACAGAAACGUGGUCCCAUGAGCGCUAGAACUCCUUAGGAAACAUCGAAUUCUACAGAUCAAUUCUUACAUGUUACGAGAGAACUGGAUUCUUACAAUGCAUUUACCAGUGCAGAAAUGAUUAUAUUUGCAACAUUCAAAUUUAGUUAUGUUUUGUACUAUAUAUUACCGUUCCUCAUGAUUGUAUUUUUAUGUGUUUGUGGUUUUUCUUAAUAACGUGCUUCGUUCCAUCAUUGUUAUAUUUUUUAUACAAGCGGAAUUUCGAUACAAAUUCUCACUGUCUAAUUUAUAUUCUGCAAAAUUGCACCGAUUGAUUUGUCGUUAGGUUUUCCCUUCAAGUUUAUUAUUAUAAGACGAUUGUAAAUUAUAGAAACGAAUGUUAAUUUUUUUUCGCUUUGUUAUACAUAUCUUCGUUCGACAGUCUUUCGCUGAGCGCUUCGAGGUAAGUUGCACAUUUGGCGAUCCUGCCACUUUUUUUAAAAAAAAAGAACCGAAUGGAAUCCUCCAUGCGCAAGCUGAUUUAUUUUCUAAUAAAAAUGCCACGCUUAUAGCAAGCGGAUUGGGACAACCGCAUCGCUCAAUUAUUCCGAAAGUGAAAAGCUGGAAGAUGCGCUUUAAUCGUUUCAAAACGACGCCUCUGUGAAAAUGCAAAGCUGAAAAUAUUCUGCAAUCGUUUAAAACGACGCCAUUAUGAAAAUGCAAAAAAAAACUGAAUCUGUUGCCAAUAGCCAAUAUCGUUACAAAACGAAUCCGUUGCUAAAAUGAAAAUCUGCUGCAAUUGUUUCAAAACGAUGCCAUUGAAAAAAUGCAAAACUGCAAGUUUGAGCGAACUGUUUCAUACCGCUUUAAUAUCACUGCAAUACGACAGCAAAAGUGGAUUGUUUUUGCACUUUAUAAAAUAGCUAAAUGCUAUUCUUGAAUUGCCUAGCAACAAAAUGCCUUAAUUAUCGAAAGCUCCACAUACAGCCUUUCUAAAGGAAAGCUGGUGCCCCAGUGUUUCACAACUAAUACUGUCUGCUGCAUAUUGCAGGUCAAAAUCAAGGGGUUGCUACGACGGCCGCCUUAUAGCCCACAUAGAAAAUCAUGAACAUAGAAAUCAUAACCUAAAAUUAAACAAAAUGUGCUUCGUGACAUCCUGCUGCAGUAUUUUAUUCGCAAAUCGCAAAAUAAAGCGUCCGGAUGGGUAUCCAAAUAUCCGAAAACUAUACAACGUAAUCAUUGGCUACAGGCCAUUGCAAAUCCUGAGCAUAUUUGCAUCAAUAUUGACUCCAAACAAUAAACAAUGUGCGAGUCCUAGCUUUAUGCUGUCUACGCUCAAAUUGUGUUGGUUGGGAUAGUGUUGCCAAGGCCCUGGUCAAAAUAAUUAAUUUCUACAACAGCAUUUCCGAAAGACUCGGACCAUAGCAAACGGCAGAAAGUUUGGUUGAAAGACCAUGAAGAUCGACGAUGAAACGACGCGAAAGGCAAAGCCGGUUUUAUAACAAAAACUAAAACUAAACUAAAAAUCAAUUGGACUAAUCUAGAGGAAAUUUCAGUCUACCAGCAACAUAAAAUCCAUCAUUUCUGAAAACAUAAGUACGGCGAACGCGCUUCCAAGGUGCAACAACAUUUUCCAUCAGAAUUUGCUGUGUUCCAUCGUUCAUUUAUCCUUCAUCCAGAACCCGCAAACAAACAAACAUACUGCAGUCGAAUAGAACAAAUUAUACAACGGGCCACAAAGCGCUUCGAUGUGGAAUCCUAAAGCGAAGGAAAUAUAAUUAACAAUAUAAUUAACGAAAAACUCAGGACCCUCAUUGACCAUCUUUGUGUUGUUACAGAAUAGCUACGUCCACGCAACAUAUAAAUUACCCAACAAUGAUCAUUCAACUGUCUCCGCUGUCCGGUGGUCCAACUGGAUAAUGGAAGAACAGAUAGAAUACUCUUACGCCUAAAUGGCUACUGUGUGAAUGUACCAUAUGUAAUGGUAUAGAAGGAAUACUGGCGAAUGGCAACUGUGUAAUGUGCUAAUUAUAGAUAUAUGAUAACCAUGUGACAUGUACACGAUUAAAAAUUCGGCUCUGUUACAGCUUAAAUGUUAGUGAGCCUUAAAUAAAUAAAUGGGAUAAAAAAAAAAUUAACGAAAAAGUUUUUAUUGCACUACCAAUAAUCCGUUGAAAUUUCAUCAAUUUGGAAGUAGCAAAAGCCACCUACACUAUCGAAUCCGCAAAUCCCUUAGAUUUUCUCAUCGAUACUCGAGAUGAUGCCAAUGUCAUCGGCUGCAGCGAUCGUAUGCUCAUGAAAUGAAAUUAUUUCGUGAAGCUCUAGGUCACCACAUUCCAUGCUGCCCCAGAAGGUAAUAUAUUGCUGUUAGGCCAGUCUACUGCAUAUCAGAACGCAUAUUAUAACGGUGACGAAAGCUCCCCUCUUUGGAUGAAUUACAUGUUUGCCAAAGGCAAGUCUUCUGAUUAUGCAGUUAUCGUUCCGUGUCAAUCACUCUAUAGAGGAUAUUCCGUCAUUGAAAAGCGGAAACUUGAUUCUUCACAGAGCAAUAAAAUGAAAAAUAACGCAGGUGGAUAGAGUGUAUCAUUUGGAAAAAGCAUCACGUGCCCGAUGACCGAAAAAUCAAUCCGUAAAUUUGUAGCAUUCAAGGCAGUGGAAGACUCCAAUCGUGGAAAAAGGCUAUAGCGGUUUCCAGUACGUACGUUCGGUUGACCAGUGAAUAUUAUGUAUUAUGGAUCAUCAAUCUCUAAUAAGCCUGAAACGAAACAAUUGAUUAGCGUGAUUUAUAGCAUACAUAUUUUUGAUUCGGUGCUCUCGUGGAAGAAAUUCAUUUGUUUAUAAUUUGCUGCAUAACAAACUGUGGACGUCAUAGUGUUUGUUUCAUUUCACUUCGUUCCUUGUUAUUUACUCACAAAAGUCAAAAGAAAAAGCACAAACACCAAGUAAUCAAGUAGAAGGUUAAUCCAUCCCCCAAAAACGCUCAUCGGUCAUUAAAAAAAAUAAAAGCUACUUUUAGCUUAGUGCUACUUGAAGCUAAUUUUCAUCCAUGAAUGUAACAUAGCAGGUCUUUGCAAUAUUCGCUAGAGCUUGGUGAGAGAAGCUUUCUGGAGUCCCGUUCUAAAUUGUAUUCAUCUUUAGAUAAUAUUCUUAUCGAAUUGCAAUAACUUUCAAUUUUUAUAUUUUUUUUAACUCUUUCUUUUUUUUUGGAGAGAGGGGAAGAUGUGUGGCAUAUGAAACGCUAAUGCGAAUAGAGCUUAAUAAUGUUAGUACCAUCAUCCACCGUAGCAAGCGCAACUGUACAGAGCCGUCGUACCAUCAACGCUCUGAAGCACACACGAGCCGAACAUAUCUUCGUUCGACAGUCUUUCGCUGAGCGCUUCGAGGGUCGAUAUUUCUUCAGAAUAUGAUUUGACACUUGAAAGUGUCAAGUCCGAUGAGAAAAUACGAACGCUAGGAAAUAUCCAACCUUAUAGGUAAACCUGAACACUUUGAAUGAAAUAUAAAUUGUAUCCCAUAACAUAUUUUAAUAUU
This is a long non-coding RNA of Toxorhynchites rutilus septentrionalis, 4438 nucleotides long. RefSeq lists it as uncharacterized. The record is from RefSeq and is a predicted model, not a curated record. The transcript has 3 exons. NCBI's taxonomy places the organism in Eukaryota, Metazoa, Arthropoda, Insecta, Diptera, Culicidae.